RNAcentral lists this long non-coding RNA (3491 nucleotides) under Sus scrofa (pig). RNAcentral describes it as "lncRNA (ENSSSCG00000055808.1)". Lineage: Eukaryota; Metazoa; Chordata; Mammalia; Artiodactyla; Suidae. The record is from RNAcentral.
AUUCCCAGGCUAGGGGUCCAGUUGGAGCUGUAGCUGGGGCCUAUGCCACAGCCACAGCAACAUAGGAUCUGAGCUGCAUCUGCAGUCUACACCACAGCUCACGGCAAUGUCAGAUCCUUAACCCACUGAGCAAGGCCAGGGAUUGAACUUGCGUCCUCAUGAAUGCUAGUCAGAUUCAUUUCCACUGAGCUACAGUGGUAACUCCUGAAGAUUGUGUUCUUAACCACUUCAAUUGUACAGCCCUUCAAAGGAAAGGGAAGAAAAAGUCAGCACAAGUUAUCUUAGGUUCUCUCAACAGAAGCUCUGUCUCCAAAACCAAACUUAGAUAGACAGAACAAAAAACAAGUUCUGGGAGUUCCUGUCUUGGUGCAGCAGAAGCAAAUCUGACUAGGAACCACGAGGUGGGUUUGAUCCCUGACCUCGCUAAAUGGGUUAAGGAUCCAGUAUUGCCAUGAGCUGUGGUAUAGGUCGCAGACGUUGCUGUGGCUCUGGUGUAGGCUGGCAGCUCUAGCUCCGCUUAGCCCCUAGCCUGGGAACCUCCAUAUGCUGCAGGUGCGGCCCUAAAAAUAAAAAAUAAUAAACCGUGUUUGUUUUUGUAAAGAUGUCUUUCUUGUAAAGAAAAUUCUUUGAGGAUAGGAAGACAAGAGUAGCCGCAUCCAUGAAGACAUUAGUAUUGCUAACCUUCAACUAAUCCAGGCUAGAGCAGGAUCCGUGUCAUGGGCAUGUGACCAAUGCAGUCCCACAGGGCCUUGCACAGAGAACGGCUGUGCUUUGAAGGUUUUUUCCUGUCGAUUUCAUGCUCCGCUAUCCCGGUCGUGAAAUUCUUAAUACUUUUUGCAUGAGGGGUCCUGCAUUUUUAUUUUAUACUGGGCAUCUCCAUUUUUGUAACUAGUCAUGGACUGGUGUCUUGGUUAACCCUUUAAAGCAGCUAAUUGCUUGGCAGUGGAGAAGGGAUGUGGACAGGCAACACUAGAAGAGCUGCUAGUAAAGGCCUCAGAUUCUGCUACUAUUUAUACUGGACCCUGGAUAGGAAAGCUCAGGCCUUGAAUUUCUAGGCUGCAGAAUAUCCAGUUCCCUGAGUAUUAAUGAUUCUACAAGAUCACCCUGGGAUCAAAUAAGAUAAUUAUUGAAGGAUACUGGUCUAUUUUAAGGGGAAAAAAUAUACCACAGACAGUAUUUUCUGGAGUUUCAGUGGGCUUAGAUCUGUUUGAGUUCUUUUUCCUGGUCUGAGAUUUGUUUUAGGUCAAUUUAAUGAUUCUCUUUCAUAAUAAGCACCAAAUCAAUUAAAUGAGACAUACUUCCUUUUAACAGGAAUCAAUAUCUAUCAUUUCCAUUUUGAUGUAUCUUACGUUUCUAUUGUCUUUAAUAAACGUGAAUGCACUUUGUGAUUUUAGGUUUGUUUUGUGUAAUGUGUGAGAGUGUGGGCUUAAAAUACUUUAUACCAUCAGAUUUGCUAGUAUAUUCCAGUGAUGUUAUCAAAACUACUAUGUGUAAUACCUCUGUAAUUCUACCUGGCUGCUGCUGCUUUUUAUUUUUAUUUUUAUUUUUAUUUUUAUUUUUAUUUUCCCACUGUACAGCAAAGGGGUCAGGUUAUCCUUACAUGUAUACAUUGCAAUUACAGUUUUUCCCCCACCCUUUCUUCUGUUGCAACAUGAGUAUCUAGACAUAGUUCUCAAUGCUAUUCAGCAGGAUCUCCUUGCUGCUUUUUCUUUACUUCCUCAGAAACCUUAACUUAGAGACUGUCUGUGAUCUUGAGUCAUAUUCAUCUGCAUUUGCUUUUGAUAAACACCCAUGUACUCUGAAUCUUAUCUCUUGCGAUAAUUUUCUUCUGUACAGUUUAAUAGCGUUUUCUCUGCCAUCUUGAAGAUCCCCUGCUGAAUCCCACCAUUCUACCCCAAAUGAAAACAAGCAGAGGCAAAAUUCCUGAUUUGUGGAGUACUUAAAAAAGCCACUGUCUUCAUUGAUUGUUGCUAAUUUAUCCAAGUCCUAGAUCUUUUCUAUUUUCAAAUGAUUAUGUUUUGUUGGAGAUUGAGUUUAAUAUUUAGUUAAGACAGGAGAAAUUCUGUGGGGAAUGAGUUCCAUAACCUCCACUUCUGCAGAGUUGUAUGUGUUACUGCUGCAGACCCAGCAGAGGGAGCCCACGUUAACAAACGAAAUUUUCUCUGGAACUAUUUUUGUGACUUCAACUAGUAUCUCCUGGUCAAAGGAGUUUUUCGAGGGGGAGAGGGAGGUCAGGAUAUAUGGGGUGUGUGUGUGUUAGAAAGAGAGUAGAAGGAAGAAGUAAAAUAGAGGGUGCAGGCCAUGUGCAUUUUAAGAUGUACUUGAAAUGUGGAUGAUAUAUGAUAUCUUCUGAAGGGAAAUGACAGAAUUGAUGGAGAGAAGCAUUUGAUUUUCAGAUCCCUAGAAGGUAGUUUAAUGCUUAAGGUAUAAAACUACUUUUUCCUACUUUUCCAGUUGUUAGCCAGUUCUUCCUUUAAAACUUUUUAGAUUGAAUCCUAAUACAUUUUCCAUUUCUUGUGAUUUUUAUAUUUAGGGUAAUUGCCCAGGGAAAGCUUUUUUUAAAAUUCCCUUUCUUACUCCGUUGCCUUACUGCCCCACACAUUGUGUGUGCAUCCAUGUCUGAGUGUAGUAAAUCUUGGAGGCUCUUUAAAUUUAGGUGAAUAUGUAUUCAAUAGAUAAUCAAUUAGUCCAUCAACUAUGCAAACAGUAGCUGUUGAACUUGGAGCACCAUAGGAGGUGCAGAAUGUGUGUGCAUCUGUGUAUAUGGAGGAGUGGUACAGACAGAAAAGAGAAUCAAAACCAUUUUCUGUGCUCAGUGAACUUCCAUGUAGUUGAGUAAAUAAAUGUGUUUAGUAAGACACAAAACAUUAUGUAACCAGAUGUUAAGCAGUAGUUCCAAGUGCCCACAAAGUAACCUGAGCAUAAAGUAAGCACUCAUGGGAGAGACAUGCAGCUCCUUAAGGGAGAUGGAAGAGCCCAGGAAAACUUCAGUGAGGAUAUGAAUGGCUCUCACUAAUGAGAGCAGAAGAGAGGAGGCAACAGCACCUUCCUUGGUGGAGAAGCAACACAAGAAAGACUGUGAGCAAGAAAGUAUGGUUAUGAUGGAGCUACGGGACCACAGUGAGGGAUUACGCUGCUUGCGUACUGCGUACUCCUAGGAGGUGCCAUUCACACCAGGACUAUGUGAAUAGUGCUCCUGGAGGUAUCCAGUACCUUAGAAUGAGUUCUGGAGUGAUUGGGUUGUGUUGAACACUGAUUGUUCACCCUUUGUGUAUUACAUUAAUAUAACCACCAAUCAGUCUAUUGAGAGCAAUCUAUAAAGAGGUAGUAGGUACAGAUGGACUAUAUAAUCAGCCCUGAUUUGAAUCCUGCAUGCAUCAAAAAAUAGAUGUGUGUGGAUCCUCGGGGCAGAGCUUCUGUGCCUGCCCACUUGCAUCUCUCACAAGCAUCCUAUCUUAAUCUAUUUCUUGCCUAUCAAAAAAAAAAAAAAA